AUGUUAAAUUUGGUUGACAAAGAUUUUUUAAAUGAUAGAAAUAAAAUCUUACCCAUUCAGCUAAACUACAACUGCUUCACCCAUCCAACUAAGCUUUCUCCCCUUUUUCACAAUUCACCGGAAGAACAGAGGUGCUGUCCACCUCUCCGAAGCACACCAUUGAUUGGGGGAGUCAGAGCUGGCCAAAUGGUGGCCAGCAGAAGAGAUGCCAUGGUCAUGCCAAGGAAAUGCGAUCUGCACGAUGUGGUGCUUGACAUUAAGUGUUGGACACAUAACUUUCCCUUCUCUGGAAUCGUCAAGACUUCUUGGCCCCCAUGAUUCUCUGCACUGGGACCCAGAAAUCUGUGUUUUAAGAAGCCCUGCAGAAGAUUGUGAUGCACACUCAGGUACGUAA
This 394-nucleotide long non-coding RNA is filed under the name Bos indicus x Bos taurus (hybrid cattle). RNAcentral's name for it is "lncRNA (ENSBIXG00005009653.1)". The record is from RNAcentral. Lineage: Eukaryota; Metazoa; Chordata; Mammalia; Artiodactyla; Bovidae.